AGUGGCGAACGGGUGAGUAACACGUGGGUGACCUGCCCUGUACUUCGGGAUAAGCCUGGGAAACUGGGUCUAAUACCGGAUAUGACCUUCCCCUGCAUGGGGGUUGGUGGAAAGCUUUUGCGGUACAGGAUGGGCCCGCGGCCUAUCAGCUUGUUGGUGGGGUAAUGGCCUACCAAGGCGACGACGGGUAGCCGGCCUGAGAGGGCGACCGGCCACACUGGGACUGAGACACGGCCCAGACUCCUACGGGAGGCAGCAGUGGGGAAUAUUGCACAAUGGGCGAAAGCCUGAUGCAGCGACGCCGCGUGAGGGAUGACGGCCUUCGGGUUGUAAACCUCUUUCAGUAGGGACGAAGCGCAAGUGACGGUACCUACAGAAGAAGCACCGGCCAACUACGUGCCAGCAGCCGCGGUAAUACGUAGGGUGCGAGCGUUGUCCGGAUUUACUGGGCGUAAAGAGCUCGUAGGCGGUUUGUCACGUCGUCUGUGAAAACCCGAGGCUUAACCUCGGGCCUGCAGGCGAUACGGGCAGACUUGAGUACUGUAGGGGAGACUGGAAUUCCUGGUGUAGCGGUGGAAUGCGCAGAUAUCAGGAGGAACACCGGUGGCGAAGGCGGGUCUCUGGGCAGUAACUGACGCUGAGGAGCGAAAGCGUGGGUAGCGAACAGGAUUAGAUA
Molecule: ribosomal RNA, 676 nt
Filed under: Tsukamurella sp.
Lineage: Bacteria; Bacillati; Actinomycetota; Actinomycetes; Mycobacteriales; Tsukamurellaceae
Description: bacterial SSU rRNA
Rfam family: Bacterial small subunit ribosomal RNA
Source: RNAcentral